UAGGGAAUCUUCCGCAAUGGGCGAAAGCCUGACGGAGCAACGCCGCGUGAGUGAUGAAGGUCUUCGGAUCGUAAAACUCUGUUAUUAGGGAAGAACAAAUGUGUAAGUAACUAUGCACGUCUUGACGGUACCUAAUCAGAAAGCCACGGCUAACUACGUGCCAGCAGCCGCGGUAAUACGUAGGUGGCAAGCGUUAUCCGGAAUUAUUGGGCGUAAAGCGCGCGUAGGCGGUUUUUUAAGUCUGAUGUGGAAGCCCACGGCUCAACCGUGUAGGGUCAUUGGAACCUGGCAAACUUGAGUGCAGAAGAAGAAAUUGGAAUUACAUGUGUAGCGGUAAAAUGCGCAGAGAUAUGGAGGAACACCAGUGGCGAAGGCGACUUUCUGGUCUGUAACAAACGCUGAUGUGCGAAAGCGUUGUGAUGAAACAGG
Molecule: ribosomal RNA, 429 nt
Filed under: Actinomycetes bacterium
Lineage: Bacteria; Bacillati; Actinomycetota; Actinomycetes
Description: Actinobacteria bacterium partial 16S ribosomal RNA
Rfam family: Bacterial small subunit ribosomal RNA
Source: RNAcentral